Sceloporus undulatus (fence lizard) is the source of this 639-nucleotide non-coding RNA. Lineage: Eukaryota; Metazoa; Chordata; Lepidosauria; Squamata; Phrynosomatidae. The record is from the annotation of a RefSeq genome assembly.
GAAAAAUCAGUCAGUUUGCUCAAAGCAACGAUGUGGAUCAUCUGGACUCUGGCCAUUGGCCUUUUGGAACUAGGAGGUUCAAAUGCUGAGGUCAAGCAACCGUGGAGUCUGGUGCUACCUGAAGGCGAAUCUGCCAGCCUGACUUGCAGCCAAAACAACAACCAUAACCAAAUGUUCUGGUACCAGCAGAGUGGAGGGCAAGGGCUGCAGCUCCUAUACAACUUCUAUAACAAAUUUGAGCGGGAGAAGGGCACUGUUUCAGACCGGUUCACAGCUGAACAACCCCAGAAAGAGCUUUGCAUCCUGAAUAUUUCCUCUGCAGAGCCAGGAGAUUCAGCUGUGUACUUCUGUGCAAGCAGCAUAGGCUCUGCAUAUGAGGUGCACUUUGGACCUGGAACCCGACUCACUGUUCUAGAAAAAGGACAAAAGACCUCUCCCCCAGAAGUGACCAUAUUUGCUCCGUCUGCACAGAAUCAAAGCAAACAGAAGGCCACAAUUGUGUGUUUAGCCACUGAUUUCUUCCCAUCAUGUCAACCUUACAUGGUUUAUGAAUGGUGGGCGAACGAGAACGAGGGAGUAAGAACAGACACUCCUGAGCUGGACAAACUAAGAAAAAAUACUCGCUGGUCAGUCGUUUAG